Molecule: long non-coding RNA, 262 nt
Filed under: Panax ginseng (ginseng)
Lineage: Eukaryota; Viridiplantae; Streptophyta; Magnoliopsida; Apiales; Araliaceae
Description: long non-coding RNA (PGIN_LNC007462)
Source: RNAcentral
AACAAUAUAAGGAUAUAUCAUGAUUGAAGAGUAUGAAUAAUUAGCUGGCAAUAAUUCAUCAAUAUAAUUGAGAACUAGCAGGAACAAACUUUUGACUGAACAAGUUUUAAACAUGAACAAACAUUUCUGGACAAACCGGUAAUGAAGGUGAUCAGCCUUUCAUACCUGACUUAUACAUGCAAGAUGUACAGAGUACAAUUUUCAUGGCAAUCAGCAAUGAUUUACCAUAAGCUUGAAUAAAACACUCUUAUUAGAGUUAAGU